RNAcentral lists this ribosomal RNA (785 nucleotides) under Planctomycetales bacterium. RNAcentral's name for it is "partial 23S ribosomal RNA". It matches the Rfam family "Bacterial large subunit ribosomal RNA", at positions 1 to 800 of the family's 2925-position model. Lineage: Bacteria; Pseudomonadati; Planctomycetota; Planctomycetia; Planctomycetales. The record is from RNAcentral.
GGUCAAGCUACUAAGGGCGCACGGGGGAUGUCUUGGUAUUAGAAGGCGAUGAAGGGCGUGGAAGUCUGCGAUAAGCCCGGGGGAGUUGACAAACAAGCGUUGAUCCUGGGGUUCCUGAAUUAGCUUGCACUGAAUACAUAGGUGUAAGUGGCUAACCCGGUGAACUGAAACAUCUAAGUAACCGGUGGAAUAGAAAGAAAAAUCGAUUUCCUCAGUAGCGGCGAGCGAACGGGAAAUAGCCCAAACCGUAGGGGUUUCCCCUGCGGGGUUGUAGGGCCUUUCAUUGUGGAGUUACAAAGCAAUCGACUAGCAGAACGUAAUGGAAAGUUCGGCCAUAGAGGGUGACAGCCCCGUAAGCGACAGUUGAAUUGCCUCCCGAAAGGUACCUGAGUAGGUCGGGUCACGUGAAACCCUGACUGAAUCGACGGGGACCAUCCCGUAAGGCUAAAUACUCUCUAAUAACCGAUAGUGAACUCAGUAGGGCGACUGAAAGAUGGGAAGAACCCCUGCUAGGGGAGGUUACUGAACCUGAAACCGUGUGCCUACAAGCGGUCGGAGCACUAUGAUUCGUUCAGUGUGACGGCGUGCCUUUUGCAUAAUGAUCCGGCGAGUUACCGUUACUGGCUUGGUUAAGACCUUCCGGGUCGAAGCCGUAGGGAAACCGAGUCUGAAUAGGGCGUAUUGUCAGUGGUGGUAGACGCGAAACUGCGUGAUCUACCCAUGAGCAGGUUGAAGCGCGGGUUAUACUGCGUGGAGGACCGAACCCACUUGGGUUGAAAACCGAG